Molecule: long non-coding RNA, 609 nt
Organism: Solanum stenotomum
Lineage: Eukaryota; Viridiplantae; Streptophyta; Magnoliopsida; Solanales; Solanaceae
Exons: 3
Source: RefSeq, a predicted model, not a curated record
UUCUCCUUGUUCUCAUCGCCUCUGCGGAGAUGUUCUCUCUUGUCUCCCCAACUGUAGCUUCUUCCCCCUUUGGUUAUGGGGGAUUAACAUUACCCACCUUGAUGUUGUUGCUAUUGUUGUUGCUGUUGAGAUCAGCUUUUAAAGGUGUACUACAAAUUAUUAAGUAUUGGGGAAAAUGGUGGAGAUGGAAUAAAAUUGAUGUUGAGAUUUUUUAUGCAAAAUCCAACUAAUUCAGGAUUGAGGAUCCAAAAUAGAGUAGAAAAUCCUAAAACUGCCAGCAACAUUACGUGUGAAAAAGAAUUCAGACUCCGUUGCUCUAGUCUGACCUCAAGUUUGGAACCUUCUAUUUCAGGAGACAGAUGCAACUCUUUGGAUAGCUACAAAAGUAUAACUACUGAUGGUAAUAAUACUAAUACUUAACUUCAUUCUACUUUUUUUCUCCUAUUUAAGAUUAUGAUGAUAUAUGUUGAAUUCGAUCGGUUAAGUGUCCACUCUUUUGUCAAAUUUCUUUCUACGCCUAUAUUGACUACUUAUUUUUAUGCCUUUUUAGUCAUUGUUCUCUAAUUUGGUUGUAUAGCGUUGCUUCAAUAAAUUAAUUAUAGGAAGAAG